AUAGGUGAACCUGCGGAAGGAUCAUUGUCGUGACCCUGACCAAAACAGACCGUGCACGCGUCAUCCUGCCUGCCGGGCAGCGGCACCAUUUGUCGCCCGGCCAAACUCCUCGAAAACUUCCUCUCUUCGGAGCGGCGGAUCGGGGUAAAAGAACCCACGGCGUCGAAGGCGUCAAGGAACACUGUGCCUAACCCGGGGACGCGGCUGGCUUGCUGGCCACACCUUGGGUUGAAAUGCUAUAUAAUCCACACGACUAUCGGCAAUGGAUAUCUCGGCUCUC
Molecule: unclassified non-coding RNA, 280 nt
Filed under: rhizosphere metagenome
Description: partial ribosomal RNA internal transcribed spacer region
Source: RNAcentral